Molecule: long non-coding RNA, 938 nt
Organism: Thunnus maccoyii (southern bluefin tuna)
Lineage: Eukaryota; Metazoa; Chordata; Actinopteri; Scombriformes; Scombridae
Exons: 3
Source: RefSeq, a predicted model, not a curated record
ACAAACUUUUUUGAAAAAAAAAAAAAAAUUCCAAUAUUUUCUAGAGUUUUCUCCCAGCCUCAUCACUACAACAUCACUGUGUUGUUCAGAUGCGGUGACAGCUACACACUGUGGAUACAUUUAAUGACAAAUGAACUUCCUUCAGCUCUAUUCACGGAGCUUUGCAGGAAAAAUGACUGUGACUGAGCGCUGACUGUGUGGUUAUCAAACAAAACCUGUUUGCUGAGGGCUGAACGAAUAAUUUCAGCAGCAACGGGAAAAAAAGGCUGGAACACAAAUGUGAUGCAAAAUGACGGGGAUUUUCAUUGUCAUCACAAAUAACUCAUUCUGGCAGCCAUGACGAUCUAUUUCUGCAGAGGUGGACACAAAUCUGGUAACAUGCCCAAGAUUUAGGGCAAAGCAGCAGCAGAAUUUGAAUGCGGUGGUCUGUUGUUUGUCCGAGUCGCUGGAAGAUGGGGGAUCAUCCGAGAGAAUGAAACAUUCAUGAGAUUGAGGCAUGCUGAAAUUCCUGACCCAGGUCUGCUGAGAGACUGUGAAGUACCUCCUCUCCUUCCUGGGCUAAAUGGGUUUUUUAUUAGUUUACAAUUGAAGAAGGAAGCGCUGCAUGGUUCUGAAGGCUUAUACAACAGAUGCUCUUUGGUGGAGCAGGUGAAAAUACAAAGAAAACAAGAUCCAGCAAAAAAACCCCAACCCAACACAUAAGGCCUAGUACAUAACCAAUACAGGGCACUAAAACAAGAGCAUGGGCCCCAGACAUGCAUACAUGCCACAUGGUUGUGUUUUAUUGCUUCUACUGUUGUCUUUUUUUUGCUUGGGAAUGUCUGUCUCUUAUUCUUAUUUAUUACUGCUACUUACUCUGUACAUUUUUCCCCUAAUAUACCAGUUACCAAACAGUAUAUUAGCUAACAGCUACCCUGUUGUUGUUGUUGUUGUUUGUG